UGGGGAAUAUUGGACAAUGGGGGCAACCCUGAUCCAGCCAUGCCGCGUGGGUGAAGAAGGCCUUAGGGUUGUAAAGCCCUUUCAGCGGGGAAGAUGAUGACGGUACCCGCAGAAGAAGCCCCGGCUAACUCCGUGCCAGCAGCCGCGGUAAUACGGAGGGGGCAAGCGUUGUUCGGAAUUACUGGGCGUAAAGGGCGCGUAGGCGGCCGGUCGCGUCAGGCGUGAAAGCCCCGGGCUCAACCAGGGAACUGCGCUUGAUACGGGCUGGCUUGAGAUCGGAAGAGGAGUGUGGAAUUCCCAGUGUAGAGGUGAAAUUCGUAGAUAUUGGGAAGAACACCAGUGGCGGAGGCGGCACUCUGGUCCGUAUCUGACGCUGAGGCGCGAAAGCGUGGGGAGCAAACAGGAUUAGAUACCCCCGUAGUCC
Molecule: ribosomal RNA, 424 nt
Filed under: uncultured prokaryote
Description: bacterial SSU rRNA
Rfam family: Bacterial small subunit ribosomal RNA
Source: RNAcentral